AUUCGAGUAAGGUAACUCCACGCCUACGUGAGUCUCCUCGCGGCCUGGUACAGGACCCACGUAUCUCACUCGCCCUUGAAGAACUUUACCCUCUGGCGAUAUAAUCUUCACGAGAUGAUCCAGCUUUAGAUCUCUUGGUAUCUGUCGAAAGAAGGAAAAUACAGGGGAAGGUUAAAGAUUAAUCGAAUAUUAAAAAGGAAAUAUUUUCUAAGCUCGUCUUUGUUAUCGCACCAACGAUAUUUCAAAAAACGAAAUUACCACGAAAAUCGGAUCGUAACAAUCCGAUUAAUCGUAUUCUAAAAAAUCUAUCUACUACUCUACGAGAAAUAGAUUCGUACGGUCUGGCAUCCUGUGGCGGAUGCCAGUCACGGAUUAGAUCCGGCUCAGAGUAUCGCCGUGUACGUCUCCGCCUAGCUGUCUGUCUGUUCCAGUAAUCGGAACUGACGCCGCUACUGGAUAUUGUCAGCAUCGAGUCGAUGCUUCGUCGCAAAUAAUCCUCGGCCUCGUCGAUCAACGACUCGGUCGAAUCGCCGCUGUUAUCGCCGGUCACCAAAUCCGAGCGCAGAUUUGGCAAGCUGCCACGCGUCAUCGGGCAUUCUGCGAGCAAACCAACUUGAUGAUCGUAUGCGAAAAACUUGCUACUUGUUGGGGAAAACACCAGAUUCAUAACAGGUUCCGGCUAAUUAAGAUUGUCUUCCCGAGAGGAUUUCGAAUUUGUUCAUCGUAAACGUAAAUUCAUCGAAUCGUAAAUUUCUCUUAGGAACGCUCUUAGAAGUUUUCGAGGACGUAGCAGGCGGGUGCACGUGGGUAGGAGAAGAGGGCAUAGAAGACCAGGUGGGUCUCGGGGUGGAAGUGGCGAGCGGAACUCUCCAAGUGUCGAAGGACGCCG
Apis laboriosa (Himalayan honeybee) is the source of this 889-nucleotide long non-coding RNA. RefSeq lists it as uncharacterized. The transcript has 3 exons. The record is from RefSeq and is a predicted model, not a curated record. NCBI's taxonomy places the organism in Eukaryota, Metazoa, Arthropoda, Insecta, Hymenoptera, Apidae.